AGGUAUCUUAAAAGGUGUCAAUUUCCGCUAUGGAUGCAAGAAAAAGAAGGUCUUCGUGUUUUCUGCCUGUCUGGUUGUGGCAGCCAAGAUUGAAUGAGGAAAUAUAGAA
RNAcentral lists this small nucleolar RNA (109 nucleotides) under Dasypus novemcinctus (nine-banded armadillo). RNAcentral's name for it is "Small nucleolar RNA SNORA31 (ENSDNOG00000033429.1)". Lineage: Eukaryota; Metazoa; Chordata; Mammalia; Cingulata; Dasypodidae. The record is from RNAcentral.